GAUCAGGUAGGGAUACCCGGAACCUUUAA
This 29-nucleotide ribosomal RNA is filed under the name Pyrenophora teres. RNAcentral's name for it is "partial 28S ribosomal RNA". Lineage: Eukaryota; Fungi; Ascomycota; Dothideomycetes; Pleosporales; Pleosporaceae. The record is from RNAcentral.